GACGAACGCUGGCGGCGUGCCUAAUACAUGCGAGUCGAACGCACAGUUUAUACCGUAGCUUGCUACACCAUAGACUGUGAGUUGCGAACGGGUGAGUAACGCGUAGGUAACCUGCCUGGUAGCGGGGGAUAACUAUUGGAAACGAUAGCUAAUACCGCAUAAUAUUAAUUAUUGCAUGAUAAUUAAUUGAAAGGUGCAAUUGCACCACUACCAGAUGGACCUGCGUUGUAUUAGCUAGUAGGUGAGGUAACGGCUCACCUAGGCGACGAUACAUAGCCGACCGGAGAGGGUGAUCGGCCACACUGGGACUGAGACACGGCCCAGACUCCUACGGGAGGCAGCAGUAGGGAAUCUUCGGCAAUGGACGAAAGUCUGACCGAGCAACGCCGCGUGAGUGAAGAAGGGUUUCGGAUCGUAAAGCUCUGUUGUAAGAGAAGAACGGGUGUGAGAGUGGAAAGUUCACACUGUGACGGUAGCUUACCAGAAAGGGACGGCUAACUACGUG
This 505-nucleotide ribosomal RNA is filed under the name uncultured bacterium. RNAcentral describes it as "partial 16S ribosomal RNA". It matches the Rfam family "Bacterial small subunit ribosomal RNA", at positions 28 to 507 of the family's 1533-position model. The record is from RNAcentral.